GGCGCGUUUCCCUGGAAAGUUUUAGGCAAGUUUCGUUUCUGCAGAGGAAGAUAGGAAGAUUUCGACUUUGUUGGUUAAGUUCAAAGUUACCGAAGGGUCCCCUCCACCACUUGAAAACGAUUGCUCACUCACAGACUGAACUCUGCUUCAUUCAUAAAGCCUACCAUUGAUGAUAAAUCACUGCUAGGACACACCUCCACGGAAAUACACUGGUGAGCUCGUUGGGGUGGAGUUAGCCUAUUUGUAUCACCAGACUAGCCGUGCACUGGAGGACUACAAACGCACACUGGCUGCGUUGGAGACAGAUGAGGUGUCUGUGGCCGAGAAUGAAGGCUAUGUUGAGCCUGAGGUAGAGGAGUAGAGGACUUUACUGUCCCCAACCUGGAACCUCCCCCACUCGCUGGUCCCACUGCCACGGCUGCUGACGGCCUUGACUCGGCGCGGGUUCUGCUGAUGUAGCGCCUGCCGCGCAACCCACCAGCCGGUCCCCUGCGUUUGCCGUGCCAUCCGGCUGGUCCCCAGCACCUGCCACGCCACUCACAAUAGAUAACGCGUCUGACUACCGAUCAGAAGAUUCUAGGUUCGACUCCUAGCUGGCUCGGCUUUAACAUUUUAACAAUUAGGCUACGUAACGUAUAAGAUUGUAGCCUGGGAACCAGACGAGAGGAAAAAGAGGAGAAAACUAAAUUCUGUGGCACCUCUGUUUCAGUCUUCUGGCAUUUU
Molecule: long non-coding RNA, 723 nt
Organism: Sander lucioperca (pikeperch)
Lineage: Eukaryota; Metazoa; Chordata; Actinopteri; Perciformes; Percidae
Exons: 3
Source: RefSeq, a predicted model, not a curated record